Long non-coding RNA from Meriones unguiculatus (Mongolian gerbil), 1005 nucleotides. RefSeq lists it as uncharacterized. NCBI's taxonomy places the organism in Eukaryota, Metazoa, Chordata, Mammalia, Rodentia, Muridae. The transcript is spliced from 2 exons. The record is from RefSeq and is a predicted model, not a curated record.
GAACCCCACUUUGGAGCCUGGUCCUCUCAGCUCUGCAACAUCAGCUUGAGGAUCAGCCAGGAGUAAGGGACGCUGGGGCCUUGGUCCAGUGGAGAAUCUAGUGACAUAGGACUCUGGGAGUCAGGGCCUCUGUCUCAUGGGAAGGCUGGGCACUGAGGCCUUUACCGGAGGAGGCUGUGGCCGCCUCACUUGGAUCCCAAGACGGUGGGUCAGAUGGCUUGGAGGCACUGCCCAGGGGAUGGGGAUGAGCCCUCUGGAGUGGCCGUGGUCUGUACUUGAGUGUCUCAGAGAAAGGAGAAACUAGGGUGGGAACCUGCAGAGAGGGGAAGGGAGGAAGGACUCAAAGAGGAAGUUAGGCCUGGGGAAGAACAGGCUAGUCUGGCGCCAUGCUGAGUCAUUACCCACAGGGCCCAGGGCGGGCCCUCUAGGGGGCCACGGGCAGGGCGGAGGGGUCCCUGGGAAUCUGCAAGGAGGGUGGAGGGGGGGAGGAGGGCUUUCUUACAGCAGGAGUCAGCAAGAAGAGCAGAUGGCCUGAAGAAUAGCUGUGGACAGACAGACAGACAGUGCAGUCACCCAUAAAGUAGAAAGCACUACUAACAGCACUGGAGGGUGUAGUGUUUCCUACUUUAUGGAUGAGUGUACUGUGGGCUUCGGAGACCACGCCGCGCCGCGGCCACCUGCCACCGCCCAUCGUCCACCCCCGUCGAGGAGACAGGUGAGCAUCCCUCGCACGCACUUGCACAUUUUGCCGGUCUUCCCCCAACCCCCUCCCAACCCCAAACGACUUUCACUGCCCCCCAAAGCCCUGUGCUUCCUGACCCCAGACACGUGGGGAAAACACCGCGGCAGCUCUGGGCGGGUCCGAGUCUAUGAGGGUGGGGCUGGGCCUGUGGGUCUCCGUGCUGCGCCUGCAGGCCGACCUCGGAUUCCAGGAGGGAGGCCAGAUGGCUAGGAAUGGGUAGGGGUCACAGGGCCCGCAACACUAAUAAAGAACGGACUUGUUUA